UUGAACGCUGGCGGCAUGCUUUACACAUGCAAGUCGAACGGCAGCACAGGGAGCUUGCUCCCGGGUGGCGAGUUGGCGCACGGGUGAGUAAUACAUCGGAACGUGUCCUGUUGUGGGGAUAACUGCUCGAAAGGGUGGCUAAUACCGCAUGAGACCUGAGGGUGAAAGCGGGGGGAUCGCAAGACCUCGCGCAAUUGGAGCGGCCGAUGCCCGAUUAGCUAGUUGGUGAGGUAAAGGCUCACCAAGGCGACGAUCGGUAGCUGGUCUGAGAGGACGACCAGCCACACUGGGACUGAGACACGGCCCAGACUCCUACGGGAGGCAGCAGGUGGGGAAUUUUGGGCAAUGGGGGCAACCCUGAUCCAGCCAUGCCGCGUGCAGGAUGAAGGCCUUCGGGUUGUAAACUGCUUUUGUCAGGGACGAAAAGGAUCGUGAUAAUACCAUGGUCUGCUGACGGUACCUGAAGAAUAAGCACCGGCUAACUACGUG
Molecule: ribosomal RNA, 489 nt
Filed under: uncultured bacterium
Lineage: Bacteria
Description: bacterial SSU rRNA
Rfam family: Bacterial small subunit ribosomal RNA
Source: RNAcentral